GAGCAUCCUGGUGGGAAAGAAGUCUUAACAGAAGAAGUCUUAAAGGAAGAAGCUGGAGGUGACGCUACUGCAAACUUUGAGGAUGUUGGGCACUCUACAGAUGCUAGGGAAUUGUCCAAAACAUAUAUCAUUGAGGAGUUCCAUCCAGAUGAUAAACUUAAGUUAAGCAAGCUUUCAGAAACUUUUAUCGCUACUGUUGUUUCUAGUUCCAGCUGGUGGACCAACUGGGUGAUCCCUGCCAUCUCAACAGUGGCCGUUGCCUUGAUGUAUUGCCUGUACAUGGCAGAAGACUAAACAACUCCUCAGAAGCCAGUGCAGGAAAAGCCUGCUUUGGACACAGGAGAAAAGAAGCCAAUGCUAACUACUUCAACAGACAGAAACCUUCACUUGAAAAAAUAG
Molecule: long non-coding RNA, 399 nt
Filed under: Homo sapiens (human)
Lineage: Eukaryota; Metazoa; Chordata; Mammalia; Primates; Hominidae
Description: non-protein coding lnc-THBD-4:1
Source: RNAcentral